Molecule: ribosomal RNA, 255 nt
Filed under: uncultured bacterium
Lineage: Bacteria
Description: partial 16S ribosomal RNA
Rfam family: Bacterial small subunit ribosomal RNA
Source: RNAcentral
UACGUAGGGUGCGAGCGUUGUCCGGAUUUAUUGGGCGUAAAGAGCGUGUAGGCGGUCAGGUAGGUCCGUUGUGAAAACUCGAGGCUCAACCUCGAGACGCCGAUGGAAACCAUCUGACUAGAGUCCGGAAGAGGAGAGUGGAAUUCCUGGUGUAGCGGUGAAAUGCGCAGAUAUCAGGAGGAACACCGAUGGCGAAGGCAGGUCUCUGGGCUGACACUGACGCUCAUGCACGAAAGCGUGGGGAGCGAAACAAGG